This 1566-nucleotide ribosomal RNA is filed under the name Salmonella enterica subsp. enterica serovar Typhimurium. RNAcentral's name for it is "bacterial LSU rRNA". It matches the Rfam family "Bacterial large subunit ribosomal RNA", at positions 1272 to 2821 of the family's 2925-position model. The record is from RNAcentral. Lineage: Bacteria; Pseudomonadati; Pseudomonadota; Gammaproteobacteria; Enterobacterales; Enterobacteriaceae.
GCUGGAGGUAUCAGAAGUGCGAAUGCUGACAUAAGUAACGAUAAAGCGGGUGAAAAGCCCGCUCGCCGGAAGACCAAGGGUUCCUGUCCAACGUUAAUCGGGGCAGGGUGAGUCGACCCCUAAGGCGAGGCCGAAAGGCGUAGUCGAUGGGAAACGGGUUAAUAUUCCCGUACUUGGUGUUACUGCGAAGGGGGGACGGAGAAGGCUAUGUUGGCCGGGCGACGGUUGUCCCGGUUUAAGCGUGUAGGUGUGUGUUCCAGGUAAAUCCGGUUCACUUUAACACUGAGGCGUGACGACGAGGCACUACGGUGCUGAAGCAACAAAUGCCCUGCUUCCAGGAAAAGCCUCUAAGCAUCAGGUAACAUCAAAUCGUACCCCAAACCGACACAGGUGGUCAGGUAGAGAAUACCAAGGCGCUUGAGAGAACUCGGGUGAAGGAACUAGGCAAAAUGGUGCCGUAACUUCGGGAGAAGGCACGCUGACACGUAGGUGAAGUGAUUUACUCAUGGAGCUGAAGUCAGUCGAAGAUACCAGCUGGCUGCAACUGUUUAUUAAAAACACAGCACUGUGCAAACACGAAAGUGGACGUAUACGGUGUGACGCCUGCCCGGUGCCGGAAGGUUAAUUGAUGGGGUCAGCGCAAGCGAAGCUCCUGAUCGAAGCCCCGGUAAACGGCGGCCGUAACUAUAACGGUCCUAAGGUAGCGAAAUUCCUUGUCGGGUAAGUUCCGACCUGCACGAAUGGCGUAAUGAUGGCCAGGCUGUCUCCACCCGAGACUCAGUGAAAUUGAACUCGCUGUGAAGAUGCAGUGUACCCGCGGCAAGACGGAAAGACCCCGUGAACCUUUACUAUAGCUUGACACUGAACAUUGAGCCUUGAUGUGUAGGAUAGGUGGGAGGCUUUGAAGUGUGGACGCCAGUCUGCAUGGAGCCGACCUUGAAAUACCACCCUUUAAUGUUUGAUGUUCUAACGUGGACCCGUAAUCCGGGUUGCGGACAGUGUCUGGUGGGUAGUUUGACUGGGGCGGUCUCCUCCUAAAGAGUAACGGAGGAGCACGAAGGUUGGCUAAUCCUGGUCGGACAUCAGGAGGUUAGUGCAAUGGCAUAAGCCAGCUUGACUGCGAGCGUGACGGCGCGAGCAGGUGCGAAAGCAGGUCAUAGUGAUCCGGUGGUUCUGAAUGGAAGGGCCAUCGCUCAACGGAUAAAAGGUACUCCGGGGAUAACAGGCUGAUACCGCCCAAGAGUUCAUAUCGACGGCGGUGUUUGGCACCUCGAUGUCGGCUCAUCACAUCCUGGGGCUGAAGUAGGUCCCAAGGGUAUGGCUGUUCGCCAUUUAAAGUGGUACGCGAGCUGGGUUUAGAACGUCGUGAGACAGUUCGGUCCCUAUCUGCCGUGGGCGCUGGAGAACUGAGGGGGGCUGCUCCUAGUACGAGAGGACCGGAGUGGACGCAUCACUGGUGUUCGGGUUGUCAUGCCAAUGGCACUGCCCGGUAGCUAAAUGCGGAAGAGAUAAGUGCUGAAAGCAUCUAAGCACGAAACUUGCCCCGAGAUGAGUUCUCCCUGAGAC